GGUGGAGAGAUACUGACAGUAGGGGAGGAGGUGGAGAGAUACUGACAGUAGAGGAGGAGGUGUAGAGAUAUAUACAGUAGAGGAGGAGGUGUAGAGAGGUGUAGAGAUACUGACAGUAGGGGAGGAGGUGUAGAGAUACAGACAGUAGAGGAGGAGGUGUAGAGGGGUGGAGAGAUACUGACAGUAGAGGGAUGGAGAGAUACUGACAGUAGAGGAGGAGGUGUAGAGAUACAGACAGUAGAGGGAUGGAGAGAUACAGACAGUAGAGGAGGAGGUGUAGAGAUACAGACAGUAGAGGAGGAGGUGUAGAGAUACAGACAGUAGGGGAGGAGUUCUAGAGAUACAGACAGUAGGGGAGGGGGUGUAGAGGUGUG
Oncorhynchus tshawytscha (Chinook salmon) is the source of this 374-nucleotide long non-coding RNA. The record is from Ensembl. NCBI's taxonomy places the organism in Eukaryota, Metazoa, Chordata, Actinopteri, Salmoniformes, Salmonidae.